CAGCCUGCUCUACAAAGUGAGUUCCAGU
RNAcentral lists this non-coding RNA (28 nucleotides) under Mus musculus (house mouse). The record is from RNAcentral. Lineage: Eukaryota; Metazoa; Chordata; Mammalia; Rodentia; Muridae.